UACGGGGGGGGCAAGCGUUGUUCGGAAUUACUGGGCGUAAAGGGCUCGUAGGCGGCCAACUAAGUCAGACGUGAAAUCCCUCGGCUUAACCGGGGAACUGCGUCUGAUACUGGAUGGCUUGAGUGUAGGAGAGGGAUGUGGAAUUCCAGGUGUAGCGGUGAAAUGCGUAGAUAUCUGGAGGAACACCGGUGGCGAAGGCGGCAUCCUGGACUACUACUGACGCUGAGGAGCGAAAGCCAGGGGAGCAAACGGG
Molecule: ribosomal RNA, 253 nt
Filed under: uncultured bacterium
Lineage: Bacteria
Description: partial 16S ribosomal RNA
Rfam family: Bacterial small subunit ribosomal RNA
Source: RNAcentral